UUGGAAGUAAAUAAUCGUAACAAGGUUUCCGUAGGUGAACCUGCGGAAGGAUCAUUAACAUUAAUUUACUACACACUGUUUUUUUACAACAAAACAAAUCUAUCUAAAAACAAUUCUUUACAAGAAAUUCUUAAAACUUUCAACAACGGAUCUCUUGGUUCUCGCAUCGAUGAAGAACGCAGCGAAAUGCGAUACGUAAUACGAAUCGCAGCUCUCGGAAUCAUCGAAUCUUUGAACGCACAUUGCACCAUUGGGUAUUCCCAAUGGUAUGCUUGUUUGAGCGAAUACUUCCCUAAUCCUCACGGAUUGUAUUGUGUUUGCACGAAAAUAAUGACGACAGUACUCUACAAAACGGUACCGUCAGUACACUCAUUUUUUUUCCUCAAAUCAAGUAGGACUACCCGCUGAACUUAAGCAUAUCAAAA
Molecule: ribosomal RNA, 425 nt
Filed under: Kodamaea ohmeri
Lineage: Eukaryota; Fungi; Ascomycota; Pichiomycetes; Serinales; Debaryomycetaceae
Description: eukaryotic LSU rRNA
Rfam family: 5.8S ribosomal RNA (bases 135-286)
Source: RNAcentral